ACCUUGGUAAGGGCUUUCCAAAAAAAUCUGAUUUCAUAAGCCAGAUUUCCACUCUCUCUCUCAAACCCUUUUCUCAAAAUAUUGUUCUGUCUUCUCUCUAAAUUUUUCAUUCACUGAACCGAUCAAAUUUUAAUUUGAAAGUGUUUCCUUGCUCACUGCACCGAGGGCUUCAAUUUGAACCCGGCGUUCUUCCAUUCCGACCGGUACUGUUGUUUUUCUGUCCGGGUGAGAAUUUCUAUUAGAACGUCUUCAAAUUAGCUUACCAAGAAAACCCAAGAGGAGAAUGAGGUCUCUGUGGAGAACGUCUUGGAGGGCAAUGAAGAUGUUGAGGCUUAGAUCCUUUAGGAUUUCUUUUCCUAUAUGUACUUUUGAAACACUGUUACCUUAUGCUGUUUUAUGAUACUUUAGCACUUUAAGUUUUAAAUUUUUAGCCACUUUCUGGAUAACUGUAAUCUUUGUUU
Long non-coding RNA from Vigna radiata var. radiata (mung bean), 461 nucleotides. RefSeq lists it as uncharacterized. The transcript is spliced from 3 exons. Lineage: Eukaryota; Viridiplantae; Streptophyta; Magnoliopsida; Fabales; Fabaceae. The record is from RefSeq and is a predicted model, not a curated record.